CAAUGAUGUCUGAGCAAAUUAUUUAAAUAAGCAAAACUUUCAACAACGGAUCUCUUGGUUCCGGCAUCGAUGAAGAACGCAGCGAAAUGCGAUAAGUAAUGUGGACCGCAGUACUCAGCGACUCAUCGAAUCUUUGAACGCACAUUGCGCCCCUU
RNAcentral lists this ribosomal RNA (155 nucleotides) under Peltigera praetextata. Its description in RNAcentral is "5.8S ribosomal RNA". The stretch from base 35 to 155 matches the Rfam family "5.8S ribosomal RNA", at positions 1 to 121 of the family's 154-position model. From Rfam's summary of the family: 5.8S ribosomal RNA (5.8S rRNA) is a component of the large subunit of the eukaryotic ribosome. It is transcribed by RNA polymerase I as part of the 45S precursor that also contains 18S and 28S rRNA. Lineage: Eukaryota; Fungi; Ascomycota; Lecanoromycetes; Peltigerales; Peltigeraceae. The record is from RNAcentral.